This 500-nucleotide ribosomal RNA is filed under the name uncultured bacterium. RNAcentral describes it as "partial 16S ribosomal RNA". It matches the Rfam family "Bacterial small subunit ribosomal RNA", at positions 899 to 1397 of the family's 1533-position model. The record is from RNAcentral.
ACUCAAAUGAAUUGACGGGGGCCCGCACAAGCGGUGGAGCAUGUUGUUUAAUACGUCACUAACCGUAGAACCUUACCAGGGCUUGACAUCCUCUGCACCGGGGUGAAAGCCUCGUCCUCGCAAGAGGCGGAGAGACAGGUGUUGCAUGGCUGUCGUCAGCUCGUGUCGUGAGAUGUUGGGUUAAGUCCCGCAACGAGCGCAACCCUCAUCCCAUGUUGCCAGCAUAUCAGGGUGGGCACUCUUGGGAAACUGCCGGGGUAACUCGGAGGAAGGUGAGGAUGACGUCAAGUCAGCAUGGCCCUUACGCCCUGGGCUACAAACAUGCUACAAUGGACGGUAGACAGAGGGAUCCGAGACCGCGAGGGGGAGGCAAUCUCAAAAAUCCGUUCUCAGUUCGGAUCGCAGGCUGCAACUCGCCUGCGUGAAGUCGGAAUCGCUAGUAACCGCAGAUCAGCCAAGCUGCGGUGAAUACGUUCCCGGGCCUUGCACACACCGCCCGU